RNAcentral lists this non-coding RNA (22 nucleotides) under Arabidopsis thaliana (thale cress). Lineage: Eukaryota; Viridiplantae; Streptophyta; Magnoliopsida; Brassicales; Brassicaceae. The record is from RNAcentral.
CAUCUUUAUCAUGGCUUUAGUG